Molecule: long non-coding RNA, 1228 nt
Filed under: Coturnix japonica (Japanese quail)
Lineage: Eukaryota; Metazoa; Chordata; Aves; Galliformes; Phasianidae
Description: lncRNA (ENSCJPG00005017525.1)
Source: RNAcentral
CAAAUGUAACUAGGAAAUGCAGAAAAGGGAAGAAAGGCAAACACUGAGAGGCAGAACAAUUGAGGCGAAUCCUGUUGCAACCUCGAUGAUAAACACGUGGAAAAGGCUGUGACUGCUCUGCGGAUUGCUGGAAUUUGGGGAGACAUUAGGAAAAUAAACACACCGAUGGCUCCGCACCAGCGGUACACGCAGUGAAAGGAUUUGGCGGCAGACAAGGCAGAAUGUGCUGCUUUAGAGGCACUGGACCUGAAAAACUAUCGACGGAGCUUUACACCUUCGAUGACUCCACAAAUCGAUGUGAGCCGGGCACAAGCCUGAAUCCAAUCAGACCCGGGUUUUUGAAGAGCCGCAUCUUCCGCGGCGCCUCAUUCCAGCAUCUCAAGCUCUGGGCUGCCGCUCCCCUCCGCAGAGCACUUGCGCGGGGCGCAGGUAGCGCGGCGGUAACCGCAGCCGGAGCGGCGCUGCCCGCUCAGCCCCCGCCGUGGCCCCGCAGUGACCCCGGCCCGGGACUGCGGGAGGUGAGAGGUGACGCCUCGAGCCGGCGCAGACCUGGCCCUUUUAAAGCCACAGCUAAUCAGUCCUUCAGUAAAUUAAAAUCUAGGAACCGGAGGGGAAGCAAUUUCGUUGUAAAGAAUUACGGGGCGCGCACCGGGAACGAAAGAGCACCGAGGGGUUUACGCUGCUGUCCGCGGCGAAUGGGUUUGUGGCCGGGGAGCGGCUGCUCUGAGAUGGUCUGAGAAAAACCGUGCGCGAGGUACAGCCGCGGCGGGUCCGCACGGUGCGGGGUCCAACGCGCACGGCCCAAUAACGCGCGGUCUCGGGUUGGGAAACUUCAGCCCCAUAAACCGCACGGCGGGAUGGGGUCCCGGGACGCCGGGCUGCCAGCCACCCAGUCAAAGGCUCGGCGCUACGUUACAGCACGAGGAGAAAGUGGAACAAUUUCCCCGUCAAUUAAUUUGUCCUCAGUUUCAAGUUUCUCUUUAAUCUUUCUGAGAAAUAAGGGAUCACUGCUGCGCGGUGCGUACGUGAGUGCGGGUGCGUCCGUGUGCACGCACACGAGAACCGACCUAGCGCACCGGGUGGCCCUCGGACUGAGAGCAACAGGGAGAGGUCAAUUGCUCCUCUUCAAUUAGAAGUUCCCCAUUGUCCUGGCACCCCGUACUUGUUAAUAACUGCUCAGAGUCAGGAGAAGAAUAAAUGUCUGCUGCGAGUAAUCUGCUGUAAUGCA